UUUCUACUGCCCUGUUCGAGUGGACCGAUUAUUUUUGGACCAGAACUUUGUAGAUAGGGACCCCAGAGUCCACGCGUGGAUACCAGGCCUCCCAUUGCGAGGAAGGUAGAAAGUGUUGGCAGGAGACCCACCUGUGUAAACAGGCUCCAAAAAUGAUCCAUGCCGCACGGCAGGGCGGUGAUUCA
This 185-nucleotide non-coding RNA is filed under the name Leptospiraceae bacterium. RNAcentral describes it as "6S RNA". It matches the Rfam family "6S / SsrS RNA". Rfam says of the family: E. coli 6S RNA was the first non coding RNA to be sequenced, but its function was unknown until recently. It consists of 184 nucleotides that fold into an extended hairpin structure with a large single-stranded internal bulge. Lineage: Bacteria; Pseudomonadati; Spirochaetota; Leptospiria; Leptospirales; Leptospiraceae. The record is from RNAcentral.